Non-coding RNA from Taeniopygia guttata (zebra finch), 5365 nucleotides. The record is from RefSeq and is a predicted model, not a curated record. NCBI's taxonomy places the organism in Eukaryota, Metazoa, Chordata, Aves, Passeriformes, Estrildidae.
AACACUGCCAGGCAGAAAAACUAAGCCAUCUAGGUUUUCAAGAGUUUCACUUCUUUAUAUGGCUGGACCUCUUGCUUCCCCCACCUAACUGAGCCAAUUAUGAUGUCUCAUGGAUUCCUAAGGUCUAAUAAAGCAGAAUUUUGCUUUAGUGCUUCUCUUGUGCCAACCUCCAGCUCCUUCCCCGUUGCACAGCACCACCUCACACACCCCAGGUGAGGUAUUUCUACCUCUUAUUCUGGUUUGUGCAAGGAAGGGAGCAGUGUGGUAGCCCACAAAAGACUGGCUCCCCAGUCAUCAAAACAUUACAGCAUUUGUACAUUUUAACAAACAAAACAUCAGCAUUCAUUGCUUACAGAUUAUGUGACAUCCAUUAAUUAGCACUCAGCCCCCUGUUUGCUAUGCUAAUUAGUCUGCAGGUGCAGUUCUUCCCUCUGCCUGACUCCAGGGUCUGUUUGGAGCAGGUGAUCACUGAGUUGGUGUCCACUGCUGGAUUUCCCUCCUCUCCAGUUACUGACAGUUCUGACCUUACUCCUGGUGGCUCUCAUCCAGGCAGCCCAUCUCAUUCAUCUUGGGAUUGUCUUCCCUUUUCCCUAAAACAAACACUAGCCAAGCAUAUAAUGUUAACAGUGCAAUUGCUUAAUCAUAACUGUCUAGCUGCAUCUGCUGGUUGACAGCAACAAAAAAAAUUGUGAAGUUUGAUUCAGAUCUUGAUACUCUCAAAUCUUGAGGGGUUCCAUAUCACUUUCAGUCUUUCAUAGGUCCUCUCUACUUUACUCUCUACUCAAGUCAUGCAACAUUGCUUCCUCCCUGCAUGUUUCUUUGUACUUGAUAAGGGGAAUAAAGUAUUAAGAUGGACUGACAGUGACACACAGAGACAUUAUAAGCCUGUAAAUCCUAUUUCUAGAGGAAAUAAGUCAAGAACUCUUUACAUCUAGUUGCAGGCUGUUAACCUUAUCUGCACUAGUAAACUAAAAAAGUUUCCUUGUCCGAGCUUUUUUUUUUUUUUUUUUUUUAACAAGACAUCUUCUGGCAUAUCCAUCAAAUGAAACAAAGCUUCAGCAGGAUUUCUCCCUUACUUAGGCUGUUCUCAGUGCCUGUGUUCUCAAAAUGUAGAUGGAGAAUGAGACUUGGGUCUCAGCAACUCUGGAACCAGCUGAGCUUUUGGAAGAUGGUCAAAGAUCACCAGUGCUCCUGACAGUAGAAAAAUAAAAAUAAAAACCAGUAGUUUUGUGUCCAUUUUAAUAAAUUUUGAAAGCUUUCAAUGAGGACAAGAAUUACUAAAACAAAUAAUCAAAAACUGUGGAGAAGAUGAGAUUUCUAUUCAGCCCGUAGUAAGAAAGGUUUUCUAUUCCUUGAAUGCCUGUAUUACUAGGACAGGCAUCUGCAUAUCCUCUUUUACUGAAGUAGGAGUCUUCCUUGCACACUCUAUUUUAAACUGCAGCAGACUCUACUGUGAAGUUAAUUAUCAACAUAGGCAGAACACCAAAACCACACAGUGUAAUAGGUACAACAGCAGAUCAAGAUUUUUUUUCCCCCCCCUCUGGUUUGUUUUUGAAGGGGUCUUUUUCUAUUAUUUUGCUUGUAAUAGCGAUUAAGCUCAGUCCCAAAAAUUCUACAAGGAAGAAUGAACUACAAAAAAAUCACAUCUCUUUUUUUUCAAGGAAAAUGGCACAAGGAAAUAGAUGAAGAGGCCGCACCUCAUCAUUUUCCUCUCAUCUUACAUGCUGGCUUCCUUAAAACACUCCAUGUUGUUGUUAUUUGGGCUUCUUAGGUUGUUCCAAGAGGAUGAAUUACAAUUGUUAGGAAGCUGUGAAUUUCCACCCUCAGCAUAUCGAAGAUCCCUCGUUCACAUUCCACCUUUGACUUCUAUUGAUCAGCUAUUCCUCAGAAUCCCAAGCAGAGUACCUAUAAAUUUGUCUCCCUCAUUUUGUUGUGUUAACAUGACUUGACUGAAAAGACACAUUCAUUCCUUCUGAAGCUCAUAAUUUCCCUUACUAGAUGAGAAGUUAAUCCUUUCCACCCAAGAACAGGUUUCACUGCCACUAUGGAUGUCAUCCUUCUCUGGGUAUUUCUGUCCAUUGUGUUACCCUAUUUUUAUCUGGUUCUGGGUCCCCUUCCUGAGUACUGAAUGCACCAAGAAAAAACUGUUUUUCAGCUUUUUCUCAACCCAUAGUGGUACCAAUCUUAGUUAUUGUUAACAGUUUAAAAGUUCCUUACCAGCUUGAAACUCUGUCUGGUGAAAAAAUGUAUCAAAGUCGGUUUUCCUAUAAGUAGGUGAAGUGUGACUCAACAGUAAUUAAGAAAGACAUUAAGAAAAGGAAAGAAAGAUAAACAUCCUGACAGUAUAAGUGUGGGUAUCUGGAGCUGCAAAGGAUGGCAGGUUGUGAGUAUGAUGCUUCAGGAUAUGCCACUUAGCCAAGUGCAGCAGGGCCUCGCUGUCAGCUUCUUGCUGCCUGCAAUACUUAACAUUCUAAGGUGAAAGAGGAGAUCUGUCAUGGAAGGAAGAGCUGAGAAUUGUGGAACACUGAUAUUCAAAAGGAAUGAAGCCAUUUCUGUGGGGGAAGACCCUAAAAACAAGAAGAAAUAAAUAAUCCCAUCAUCAAGCCAUGGCUCCUAGGAAGCAGUCCCUUCCUUCUGUGUGGAGAGAAUCUGUAGCAUUUCUUCAAAGACUACAUUGCAUAUGAACUUAAAAAAAAAAAAAAAGCAGACAAGAAAAAAAUCACAUUAAAUGGCCAAACAGUGCCAUCUGGGGACUACUCUCAUAAGAAUAGCAUGAGCAAAAGGCAAUAAAGUUAAUGAAGGACCUGCUUUUUCAUUCAGAAUGAGCAGAACUUUAUUCUGUGGGAAAUUUUGAUUAUUUGCACGGGGCCAGUCUUGGGGUCAGGCACUGAGUGGCACACAAUGCUCUGUUAACAGUCAGGACUGCUCCAGGGAAGGAACAGCAACACAUCUCUAAAUUCAAGAGCUGUGGUCAAGCAGCAGCUUUCUUGUAUGUUCUUGAUGGAAAGAAUUUUUAAAUUUGAAGCUUGUAGGAAACAGGAGACUACAUGGAAAUCAAGGAAAGGACAAUAUGAUGUAAAACCAAUGGAGAAAUGCUUUCAGAGCUUCUUGUUUUACAAUACUAUACAACAGAAGUUUAUUUCACAAAACCUCUGGGGCAAAGUGAUCCCCCCAUUUAAAGCAGUUCUAUUCAUACGAGUGUCUGAGAUUUUGCUUAAGAACUGCAGUAAAAUCACAGAAUCGUUUUAUCAGAACGGUUUGGGUUAAAAGAGACAAGAAAGGGCUCCAGUCCCCCUGCCAUGGGAUACAGUGAGCACUACCAUGUAGCUGUUUGUACAAGCAGUGGGAAUAUACUGCUUUCCAGGCUGGUGCAGAUGACACAAAUGGAAUCAGAGAUCGCUUGUAAGGACAGCUGUGUCAUUUCAGAAGUGGCAUGAGGGAAAGGAGAGUGCAAGAACAAAGCACCUGCUGCUGCCUUCAGGCAGGCAGAUUCAGUCUGGGCUCCUGCAGGAAUGCAAGAGUGAUGGUUGCCUAGAAAAUGCAGGCUUUUCAGCAGAAUAUAGAAAACCCAGAGAUGGACCAAAUCUGCUGAUUUGGGUGUUACGCAAACAAAAACAAAGAGCAGCUGCUUUUAAUCCCAAGCUGCAUAUACAAAAAAGAGAAGUAGAAAAGUAGCAAGGGCAAUAAUUUUUUGCAUUUCUUUCAGAGCCUUAGAUUUCCUUGAAGGAUUAUGAGUAUUAUGUUAAAACCUUCAGUUUAAGCUGGAUCAAAGAGGAAGGAGGCACCGAGGCACCAGAGAAUGUGGUCUUCAGUAAGGAGCUAUGGAAGUAAUUGAAAUCUGCCUUCUCUUGAGCCAACCCCUGGAACUGAGUUCUUAUUCAGAGACCAGCGCCUGGGAAAUCUGCUAAAACAACAGCACACGAUCUGCAUCCUCAUGAAACUGCCUGACAUUUAGGGUCACCCCCAUGUUGAUGUUAAGCCUGCUGAGACUGCAGUGAGAACAGUAGGCACAGCCUCUCUCCUUCUUAUAUAUGCAAGGGAAGCAGAACAAGUCAUCCAGCCACUAGGAUGGAGUGACCCCCACUUUUCCACCUUCCUGCUCAGUCUGAACAAACAUAAGUGAUAUUUUGAUCUCUCUGUUGUGGCUACACUCACUACAGUGUGUGAAGAUACCAUGAACCUUACUGGGGGCAGAUUUGCCUCGGAACAGGCACUGAACAACCUGCUCUUGAGGAAAAUCAUAAUCAGAUGAAUAGAAAUCAAGGCACAGUAAAUGAAUUCCCUCCAGCUUGCGGCAGUUUCAGGGCAGGAUAGGCAGUUCCAUGGCACACAUAUCAUACCAGCACUCAGUAACUCCUCUCAGCUUCAUCCAGAGUCUCCAGAGGUCCUUGGGGAAGUUUCUCUCAGCAUCCUCUCUAAGGCACAGCUGUGGGUAUGUUCACAGGGGCUCUCCAGCCCUUGCUUGGGCCCUCUUGCACUCUCCACUGAUCCUCCUUCUUGCACCAGCUCCCUGGAGAGUUUGACAGCCCUCCCCUCCAGCACAGUGAUGCUGCAUCCUCUGUUUUCACAAAUGAGGGUUGUUUAAAAAGUGUGUUACCAUGGACGUAGGAGAUGCUAUACAGCAGCUGGCAAAAGAUGCUUUUUGCUGGUAGAACUUUUUUGCAGGUAUACCAGGGGAGCUAGAGUAACAAGAAAGUUUUAGACUGUUCCCAGUAUGCAGUCUCAAAAAAAAUCAUUCUUUGUUUUAUUCAUUUCUUCAGAUACAAAAGAAAUAUUUAUUCAGCUCCUUAAGGAAUUGAACUAUUGACCUUUCUGAAUGUCAGAAAGCCUAGAAGUAGGGCAGAGAAAGAAUGAUUAUCAUAUUGUUGAAACAAAAGAACUCCCAUAUCUACUAACUAUUAGACCUGACAUUGCCUGUGAAAAAGGAGGAGGACAGGAUGCUGUUGUUAGAGCAGGAUCUGUUGGGGGUUGGUUGCACAGAUAAUCCAGGGUGGUAGAGAUUUUUCUCAUGUUUUGGAGGGCACUUGACUUGUUUCAGGUGGCACACACAAAUAAGUCACAUACUUAACAAUAGUUGUUUGCAAGAUGCAGGAAGCAGCUUUGGGGGGUUUCUCCUCUGGAGAGCCCUCAGAAAUAUGUUUUUGGUAGAGGUGCCAUUUUCAUUUUGACAGUAACCCACAUACUGCAAGUGUCCUCCAGGACUGAACCAGAGCCAUUUUUGGGAGUCAUCUCAACUGCAGUGACAAGGCAGACAUUUCCUUUCACAGGCCAAGAGCUAAUCAUCAUUUAUUUAUCAAUGGCUUGUGUUUGUUCAACACUGUAUGGCUGGUAGCCAGAUAACAUUAAUAAAAGUGAGUUCACCUUG